UACGUGGGUGGCAAGCGUUGUCCGGAAUCAUUGGGCGUAAAGCGCGCGCAGGCGGUCCCUUAAGUCUGAUGUGAAAGCCCACGGCUCAACCGUGGAGGGUCAUUGGAAACUGGGGGACUUGAGUGCAGAAGAGGAAAGCGGAAUUCCAAGUGUAGCGGUGAAAUGCGUAGAGAUUUGGAGGAACACCAGUGGCGAAGGCGGCUUUCUGGUCUGUAACUGACGCUGAGGCGCGAAAGCGUGGGGAGCAAACAGG
RNAcentral lists this ribosomal RNA (253 nucleotides) under uncultured bacterium. RNAcentral describes it as "partial 16S ribosomal RNA". It matches the Rfam family "Bacterial small subunit ribosomal RNA", at positions 524 to 776 of the family's 1533-position model. The record is from RNAcentral.